CUGCUCACUUUGGCAGCACAUAUACUAAAAUUGGAAUGCUACAGAGGUAAGCAUGGCCCCUGUGCAAGGAUGACAGGCAAAUUCAUGAAGUAGUCCACAUUUUU
Small nuclear RNA from Mustela putorius furo (domestic ferret), 104 nucleotides. NCBI's taxonomy places the organism in Eukaryota, Metazoa, Chordata, Mammalia, Carnivora, Mustelidae. The record is from Ensembl.